CUGUGACCCCACUGAAGGAGACCCAGGAGAUCCAGCCCACAGGAGACAGUCCUUCCUGCCCACCAGCUCCUCUGUGCCUCUCAGAGCUUACAGUCAAAUUGGGAAGAUUAGAUGCACACCCAUAAGAAAUCACACACACAGGAAGCAUAUGAUGGGUGUUGAAACAGUAAAAUAAACUCUUCAUCAAAAAAUCGGAACUACAAACCACC
Lutra lutra (Eurasian river otter) is the source of this 209-nucleotide long non-coding RNA. RefSeq lists it as uncharacterized. The transcript is spliced from 3 exons. The record is from RefSeq and is a predicted model, not a curated record. Lineage: Eukaryota; Metazoa; Chordata; Mammalia; Carnivora; Mustelidae.